RNAcentral lists this signal recognition particle RNA (296 nucleotides) under Carlito syrichta (Philippine tarsier). RNAcentral's name for it is "Metazoan signal recognition particle RNA (ENSTSYG00000026248.1)". It matches the Rfam family "Metazoan signal recognition particle RNA". From Rfam's summary of the family: The signal recognition particle (SRP) is a universally conserved ribonucleoprotein. It is involved in the co-translational targeting of proteins to membranes. Lineage: Eukaryota; Metazoa; Chordata; Mammalia; Primates; Tarsiidae. The record is from RNAcentral.
GUGAAGCAUAGUGGCAUGCCUGUAGUCCCAGCUACUCAGGAGGCUAAAGCGGCAGGAUCACUUGAGCCCAAAAGUUCAGGGUUGUAGUGUACUAUGCCAAAUGGGUGCCACACUAAAUUUGGCAUCAAUAUGGUGACCUUCUGAGAGCUGAGGACCACCAGGUUGCAUGAGGAGGGGUGAAGUGGCCCAGGUUAGAAAAGGAGCAGGUCAAAACUCUUGUGCUGAUCAGUAGUGAGAUUAUGCCUAUGACUAGCCAGUGCACUCCAGCCUGGGCAACAUAAUAAGACUUUGUCUCU